Molecule: ribosomal RNA, 406 nt
Filed under: uncultured bacterium
Lineage: Bacteria
Description: partial 16S ribosomal RNA
Rfam family: Bacterial small subunit ribosomal RNA
Source: RNAcentral
AUUGAACGCUGGCGGCAGGCCUAACACAUGCAAGUCGAACGAGUGGCGGACGGGUGAGUAAUGUCUGGGAAACUGCCCGAUGGAGGGGGAUAACUACUGGAAACGGUAGCUAAUACCGCAUACCAUCGGAUGUGCCCAGAUGGGAUUAGCUAGUAGGUGGGGUAACGGCUCACCUGGGCGACGCUCCCUAGCUGGUCUGAGAGGAUGACCAGCCACCCUGGAUCUGAGCCGCGGUCCGGACUCCAACGGGAGGCGGCGGUGGGGAAUAUUGCACAAGGGGCGCAGGCCUGAUGCAGCCAUGCCGCGUAUAUGAAGAAGGCCUUGGGGUUUUAAAGUACUUUCAGCGAGGAGGCGGUACUCGCAGAAGAAGCACCGGCUAACUCCGUGCCAGCAGCCGCGGUAAUUC